GACGAACGCUGGCGGCGUGCUUAACACAUGCAAGUCGAACGGAAAGGCCCCUUUGGGGGUACUCGAGUGGCGAACGGGUGCGUAACACGUGAGUAACCUGCCCUUGACUUCGGGAUAACUUCAGGAAACUGGGGCUAAUACCGGAUAGGAAUCCUUGCUGCAUGGGGGGGGUUGGAAAGCUUCGGCGGUUUUGGAUGGACUCGCGGCUUAUCAGCUUGUUGGUGGGGUAGUGGCUUACCAAGGCUUUGACGGGUAGCCGGCCUGAGAGGGCGACCGGCCACAUUGGGACUGAGAGACGGCCCAGACGCCUACGGGAGGCAGAAGGGGGGAAUAUUGCACAAUGGGCGGAAGCCUGAUGCAGAAACGCCGCGGGCGGGAUGACGGUCUUCGGGUUGGAAAACGCUUUCAGCAGGGGCGAAGCUUGUGGUGACGGUACCUGCAGAAGAAGCACCGGCUAACUACGUG
This 465-nucleotide ribosomal RNA is filed under the name uncultured bacterium. RNAcentral describes it as "partial 16S ribosomal RNA". It matches the Rfam family "Bacterial small subunit ribosomal RNA", at positions 28 to 507 of the family's 1533-position model. The record is from RNAcentral.